GGAUUUCAGCUUGAGGUCUCAAUGGGCUUCAAACCCGGUGGAGGGUGUUAGCCACUCUCGGGUUGGUUCGACUCCAGCUGCUUUCCGCCA
This 90-nucleotide transfer RNA is filed under the name Comamonas aquatica. RNAcentral describes it as "tRNA-Sec". The record is from RNAcentral. Lineage: Bacteria; Pseudomonadati; Pseudomonadota; Betaproteobacteria; Burkholderiales; Comamonadaceae.